AUGAGUAUUAUAAGUUGGAACUGCCGAGGGGCGGGGAGCUCUCGGAUAGUUCGCGACCUUGUGAGCUUGGCACAAGCUCAUUCCCCUUGUAUCGUUUUCCUUUGUGAAACUAGGCAGUCGAAGGAUAGGAUGAAGAGAUACCGCUCUCGUUUAGGUUUACAUGGUUUUGAAGCUGUCGAUAGUGAUGGUUUUAGUGGUGGUCUAGCUCUUUUUUGGCAUGAAUCUGUGCAACUCGAUGUAAAAGAUUUGAAUAAACGAUAUAUUGAUGCGUAUGUGACGACGGCGGUGGGGGAGCCCCCUUGGAGGCUCACCUGCGUCUACGGCGAGCCGCGAACGGAGGACCGUCACCACAUGUGGUCGCUCCUUCGUGAUCUUCAUCACCAGGUGGAUAUGCCUUGGGUGGUGAUUGGCGACUUCAACGAGGCCAUGUGGGGCUUCGAGCACUUCUCCGACACCCUGCGCUCAGCAGGUCAGAUGAUCGAUUUCAGGGAUGUUUUGAAAUUAUGUGGACUUGGAGACCUUGGUUUUGCAGGGCUGCCGUAUACAUUUAAUAACCGGCGGCCCGGACGUGCGAACGUCAAGGUGCGGCUGGACCGUGCGGUGGCGAACAAUGCAUGGCGUGAUUUAUUCAUGGAGGCGGCGGUGCGGCACUUGGUGGCCCCAUCGUCUGAUCACAUAUACCCAUUCUCCUAA
Molecule: ribosomal RNA, 693 nt
Filed under: Triticum aestivum (bread wheat)
Lineage: Eukaryota; Viridiplantae; Streptophyta; Magnoliopsida; Poales; Poaceae
Description: partial small subunit ribosomal RNA
Source: RNAcentral